GCGCUUGCUUCGGCAGCACAUACACUAAAACUGGACGCUACACAGGUUAGCACGCGGCCCCUGGGCCAGAAUGACACACAAAUUUCUGAUGUGUUCAAUAUUAAA
RNAcentral lists this small nuclear RNA (105 nucleotides) under Prolemur simus (greater bamboo lemur). The record is from RNAcentral. Lineage: Eukaryota; Metazoa; Chordata; Mammalia; Primates; Lemuridae.